Hypomesus transpacificus is the source of this 387-nucleotide long non-coding RNA. RefSeq lists it as uncharacterized. NCBI's taxonomy places the organism in Eukaryota, Metazoa, Chordata, Actinopteri, Osmeriformes, Osmeridae. The transcript is spliced from 4 exons. The record is from RefSeq and is a predicted model, not a curated record.
GAGGAGAAGAGGAAGAGAGGAGCGGAGGAGAGGGAUCCUGCAGGUGACCCCCACCUCAGCAUCAUCUCAGGAUCCAUAUAGAUCUGAGCCCUCUUCCAGCCUCUCAGCUGAACCUCAUCAAGCACCUGCUGUUGUGUUCAGAUCCUUCCUGUUUUCCAGAGCAGGCAGUCUUGUCCAGUCGGUUCACCAGAGGACAGGAGAGAGGUCUGACAAGCUGAGAAACCGAGUCUCUUUCAACCAAACACUCCAGAGUCGGCUUAUGAAUAUUGAUGGUGUCCAGUCCAGAGGCUCCUGGUGGUCCUCAGCAUGAGGAGGAGCCGCCCCCGGCUCUUCCUGGGGACGUGACCUUCACUAUCAAAGCUGCAGGUGCUGAACCAGCAGCACAUC